UGGGGAAUUUUGGGCAAUGGGCGAAAGCCUGACCCAGCGACGCCGCGUUGGGGAUGAAGUCCUUCGGGGCGUAAACCCAUGUUGUAGGGGAAGAAGAAAGUGACGGUACCCUACGAGAAAGCCCCGGCCAACUACGUGCCAGCAGCCGCGGUAAAACGUAGGGGGCGAGCGUUGUCCGGAAUUACUGGGCGUAAAGGGCAUGCAGGCGGUGCGCCAAGUCGGGGGUGUAAAGUUACGGCUCAACCGUGACCUUGCAAUCGAAACUGGCGCACUGGAGUGCGGGAGAGGGAAGUGGAAUUCCCGGUGUAGCGGUGAAAUGCGUAGAUAUCGGGAGGAACGCCAGUGGCGAAGGCGGCUUCCUGGCCCGCGACUGACGCUCAUGUGCGAAAGCCAGGGGAGCGAACCGG
This 407-nucleotide ribosomal RNA is filed under the name uncultured bacterium. Its description in RNAcentral is "bacterial SSU rRNA". It matches the Rfam family "Bacterial small subunit ribosomal RNA", at positions 355 to 776 of the family's 1533-position model. The record is from RNAcentral.